UACGAGGGGGGCGAGCGUUGUUCGGAAUUAUUGGGCGUAAAGGGUGCGUAGGCGGUUCCGCAAGUCCUGUGUGAAAUCUUCGGGCUCAACUCGAAGUCUGCACGGGAAACUGCGGGGCUUGAGUGUGGGAGAGGGAGGUAGAAUUCCACGUGUAGCGGUGAAAUGCGUAGAUAUGUGGAGGAAUACCGAUGGCGAAGGCAGCCUCCUGGGCCAACACUGACGCUCAUGCACGAAAGCGUGGGGAGCAAACAGG
This 253-nucleotide ribosomal RNA is filed under the name uncultured bacterium. RNAcentral's name for it is "partial 16S ribosomal RNA". It matches the Rfam family "Bacterial small subunit ribosomal RNA", at positions 524 to 776 of the family's 1533-position model. The record is from RNAcentral.